Molecule: long non-coding RNA, 603 nt
Organism: Chenopodium quinoa (quinoa)
Lineage: Eukaryota; Viridiplantae; Streptophyta; Magnoliopsida; Caryophyllales; Amaranthaceae
Exons: 3
Source: RefSeq, a predicted model, not a curated record
AAUAUCAAAACACAUAAUGUCUUAUAUGAUUUUUCUUAUAUGUUCUAUAAAUGACAGGUCUUUAUGAAUGAAUUUGCAUCAAUGGUACAAGAAGUUGGUGCAUCUUUGGCAAGACUUUCUACCAAAUUGGUUAAGGCAAAAGAGCUCUUCCCUAGGAAUCAGUUGGUCAAGAAGGUAGAUGAAGUGUUGGGAAAGAUGGCAAGAGAACAAUCAAUUCUCAGCCAAGAUGAAGAAAUAUUUGGAUCAGAGGAUUUUUUGAAUGCCAUAGCUCAAAUUGAGAAGGAACUAAUGGAGGCAAGUGAAGCAGAAAAAAAAGAAAAUAGGAAAUGAGAAGGAAUAUGAUAUAAGGAAGGCAUUCAGUUUGGGUUGCAACUUAACUCCCCCAACUCCAACAACUGAAGCACAGAUUAAUGUUGCAGCCACAACUUCAACAACAACUGAUGCAAAUGUUUCUUCUAAGCCAGAAGAGGAAAGAGUUGGAGGUUCAAAUUCUGAAGAACCACAAGAUGGAGGAAAUUCAAAAAAAGGUAAAAAGUUCACUUAUAUAGUAUUAAAUGAACAUUUGUGAUUGUAAGAUAUUCUUCUUUAAUGAUACUAAGUCUA